UGGGGAAUAUUGCACAAUGGGCGCAAGCCUGAUGCAGCCAUGCCGCGUGUAUGAAGAAGGCCUUCGGGUUGUAAAGUACUUUCAGCGAGGAGGAAGGCGUUGUGGUUAAUAACCGCAGCGAUUGACGUUACUCGCAGAAGAAGCACCGGCUAACUCCGUGCCAGCAGCCGCGGUAAUACGGAGGGUGCAAGCGUUAAUAGGAAUUACUGGGCGUAAAGCGCACGCAGGCGGUCUGUCAAGUCGGAUGUGAAAUCCCCGGGCUCAACCUGGGAACUGCAUCCGAAACUGGCAGGCUAGAGUCUUGUAGAGGGGGGUAGAAUUCCAGGUGUAGCGGUGAAAUGCGUAGAGAUCUGGAGGAAUACCGGUGGCGAAGGCGGCCCCCUGGACAAAGACUGACGCUCAGGUGCGAAAGCGUGGGGAGCAAACA
This 427-nucleotide ribosomal RNA is filed under the name uncultured bacterium. RNAcentral describes it as "partial 16S ribosomal RNA". It matches the Rfam family "Bacterial small subunit ribosomal RNA", at positions 355 to 774 of the family's 1533-position model. The record is from RNAcentral.